Molecule: ribosomal RNA, 853 nt
Filed under: marine metagenome
Description: bacterial SSU rRNA
Rfam family: Bacterial small subunit ribosomal RNA
Source: RNAcentral
AGAGUUUGAUUAUGGCUCAGAACGAACGCUUGCUGCAUGCUUUAUACAUGCAAGUCGAACGGAGGCCCUAGCUUGCUAGGUGUCCUUAGUGGCGCACGGGUGAGUAACACGUGGGAACAUACCUUAUAGUACGGAAUAACUGCGGGAAACUGUAGCUAAUACCGUAUACUCCAGUAAUGGGAAAGAUUUAUCGCUAUAAGAUUGGCCCGCGCAAGAUUAGCUUGUUGGUGAGGUAAAAGCUCACCAAGGCUUCGAUCUUUAGCUGGUUUGAGAGGACGAUCAGCCACACUGGGACUGAGACACGGCCCAGACUCCUACGGGAGGCAGCAGUAGGGAAUAUUGGACAAUGGGGGCAACCCUGAUCCAGCAAUGCAGCGUGAGUGACGAAGGCCUUAGGGUUGUAAAACUCUUUCAUCGGUGAGGAUAAUGACAGUAGCCGAAGAAGAAGGACCGGCUAAUUCCGUGCCAGCAGCCGCGGUAAUACGGAAGGUCCUAGCGUUGUUCGGAAUUACUGGGCGUAAAGCGCAUGUAGGCGGAACAGAAAGUUAGAAGUGAAAUCCCUGGGCUCAACCUAGGAAUUGCUUUUAAAACUUCUGUUCUGGAAUUCAGGAGAGGAAAAUGGAAUUUCCAGUGUAGAGGUGAAAUUCGUAGAUAUUGGAAGGAACACCAGUGGCGAAGGCGAUUUUCUGGACUGAUAUUGACGCUGAGAUGCGAAGGCAUGGGUAGCAAACGGGAUUAGAUACCCCGGUAGUCCAUGCAGUAAACGAUGGGUGCUAGUCGUCGGACUUUUGUUCGGUGUCGUAGCUAACGCGUUAAGCACCCCGCCUGGGGAGUACGGUCGCAAGAUUAAAAC